GACGAACGCUGGCGGCGUGCCUAAUACAUGCAAGUAGAACGCUGAAGGAGGAGCUUGCUCUUCUGGAUGAGUUGCGAACGGGUGAGUAACGCGUAGGUAACCUGCCUGGUAGCGGGGGAUAACUAUUGGAAACGAUAGCUAAUACCGCAUAACAUUGACUAUUGCAUGAUAGUCAAUUGAAAGGUGCAAAUGCACCACUACCAGAUGGACCUGCGUUGUAUUAGCUAGUUGGUGGGGUAACGGCUCACCAAGGCGACGAUACAUAGCCGACCUGAGAGGGUGAUCGGCCACACUGGGACUGAGACACGGCCCAGACUCCUACGGGAGGCAGCAGUAGGGAAUCUUCGGCAAUGGGACGGGAAAGUCUGACCGAGCAAACGCCCGCGUGAGUGAAAGAAAGGUUUUUCGGAUUCGUAAAAGCUUCUGUUGUAAAG
This 434-nucleotide ribosomal RNA is filed under the name Streptococcus cristatus. Its description in RNAcentral is "bacterial SSU rRNA". It matches the Rfam family "Bacterial small subunit ribosomal RNA", at positions 28 to 443 of the family's 1533-position model. Lineage: Bacteria; Bacillati; Bacillota; Bacilli; Lactobacillales; Streptococcaceae. The record is from RNAcentral.